AGAGUUUGAUCAUGGCUCAGGAUGAACGCUAGCGGCAGGCUUAAUACAUGCAAGUCGUGGGGCAGCGCGGGUAGCAAUACCUGGCGGCGACCGGCAAACGGGUGCGGAACACGUACGCAACCUUCCUUUAAGUGGGGGAUAGCCCAGGGAAACUUGGAUUAAUACCCCGUAGCAUUACGAGAUGGCAUCAUUUUGUAAUU
Molecule: ribosomal RNA, 200 nt
Filed under: uncultured bacterium
Lineage: Bacteria
Description: partial 16S ribosomal RNA
Rfam family: Bacterial small subunit ribosomal RNA
Source: RNAcentral